CAACGUGUUGUGCUUCCCAGGGGUGUAUUCCAGAAAGCAAGGUUAACUUACCGUCAGAUAAACCUUGAACUCUUGGUUGGUUAACCCCAAACUUGCUUACUCUGGGUUUGUCAGUUCCAAAACACCUGUGAGCUGUUAGUUUAAUCAACCUUCUAUUGGUAACCCAGAGUUAAUGUGCGCGCACGGCGAGUACAUAAAGACCAUGGAAACCCAGGGAGAAAAAAGCAAGCUACAUACUUUGGUGAAACUGAGUUGGAGGCUUUAAUGCUUGCUUAUGAAGACUAUAAGCCCAUUAUAACUAAAUAAAAAAGCAAUACUGCUGCAUCAUCAAAAGAAGGAGAGUUGGCUUGGCAAAAAAUAACGGACAGAGUAAAUGUGUGUAAUCCUUCUGGAGCCAGAAGAAGUGUGAGCCAAGUCAAAAUGAAACACAAGAACAUUCUCCAGCAAGCCAAUAGAAAGAAGGCUGAGGCCCGUAAAACAGGUGGGGGUCCACCUCUACCUUCCCUCACCCCAGCUGAGGAGCUGGCACUGUCCCUUAAUAAAGGGCACCUGUGGUCGAUGGGAUUCCAGGGGGCAGUUCGUCAGACUCCGCUACCAAGACAAGUGGCUUAGUAAAAUUUGCUGAUGGCCACAUUGUAUUAUUGGAUCCUCCUGCAAUACCACACUCUGUCACAGUUGAAAGUGAUUAUUGUCUUUAGGUUUCUGUUUGCUAGACCAAGCAUCCUUCCUUAUUUUCAUUGUAGGAUGACAAAGGUCCCUUCUAUUAACAUAGUCUCCUUCAUUGACUGAAGGAGCUUAAAUGCAUACAGGAUAUGUCACAUAACCUGCUAUCUGGAAUACACCCCUGCUCCUUGAUUCCUUGUGUUUGCUUUGUGGAUUAUAAUUAAAGAUUGGG
Molecule: long non-coding RNA, 895 nt
Organism: Cyprinus carpio carpio
Lineage: Eukaryota; Metazoa; Chordata; Actinopteri; Cypriniformes; Cyprinidae
Source: Ensembl